AUUCAAGUAGCUUAUAUUUAGAGUAUGACAUUGAAGCUGUUACGGAAGUUUUUAUUUAACUCUUGAAUA
Molecule: transfer RNA, 69 nt
Filed under: Nemotelus notatus
Lineage: Eukaryota; Metazoa; Arthropoda; Insecta; Diptera; Stratiomyidae
Description: tRNA-Phe
Source: RNAcentral